This 306-nucleotide ribosomal RNA is filed under the name Alviniconcha boucheti. Its description in RNAcentral is "partial small subunit ribosomal RNA". Lineage: Eukaryota; Metazoa; Mollusca; Gastropoda; Provannidae. The record is from RNAcentral.
UGAUUAUAAAUUAAUGUAAAUUACCAGAGUACUAUGAACAUGCAGUUUAAAACUCAAAGGGCUUGGCGGUGCUUUAGACUCUUCAGGGGAACCUGUCUCGUAAUCGAUAGUCCACGAUAUACCUAACCUUUUUUAGACAUCAGUAUGUAUACCGUCGUCGUCAGGUAACUUUUAAAAAUAAAGAAGUUAGCAACAAAAAUUAGAAUAAUUUUGUACGUCAGAUCAAGGUGCAGCUCAUAAAAAGGUGAGGAUGGGUUACAAUUAAGAAUUAUAAUAACGGAAAGAGGUUUGGCAUAACCUCUAAUG